Molecule: ribosomal RNA, 447 nt
Filed under: uncultured Anaerolineaceae bacterium
Lineage: Bacteria; Bacillati; Chloroflexota; Anaerolineae; Anaerolineales; Anaerolineaceae
Description: bacterial SSU rRNA
Rfam family: Bacterial small subunit ribosomal RNA
Source: RNAcentral
ACCCGCACAAGCAGCGGAGCGUGUGGUUAAUUCGAUGCUACACGAAGAACCUUACCAGGGUUUGACAUGCAAGUGGUAGGAAUCUGAAAGGGACCGACCCUUCGGGAGCUUGCACAGGUGCUGCAUGGCUGUCGUCAGCUCGUGUCGUGAGAUGUUCGGUUAAGUCCGCUAACGAGCGCAACCCUCACUGUGUGUUAUAUGUGUCACACGGGACUGCCGGUUUUAAGCCGGAGGAAGGUGGGGAUGACGUCAAGUCAGCAUGGCCUUUAUGUCUAGGGCUACACACGUGCUACAAUGGGUGGUACAAAGAGCAGCUAACUCGCGAGAGCAUGCAAAUCUCAAAAAGCCAUCCUCAGUUCGGAUUGGAGUCUGCAACUCGACUCCAUGAAGUUGGAAUCGCUAGUAAUCGUAGAUCAGCACGCUACGGUGAAUACGUUCCCGGGCCUU